RNAcentral lists this transfer RNA (70 nucleotides) under Ulva meridionalis. Its description in RNAcentral is "tRNA-Gln". Lineage: Eukaryota; Viridiplantae; Chlorophyta; Ulvophyceae; Ulvales; Ulvaceae. The record is from RNAcentral.
AGUAACAGCUGAUAACUAUAUACAGCUUUUUGUGGGCUGGGAGGGGGUUGGUUUAGCCUCCUUUUUACUA